UACGUAGGUGGCAAGCGUUGUCCGGAAUUACUGGGCGUAAAGGGCGUGUAGGCGGCUUUUUAAGUCAGACGUGAAAUCCCUGGGCUUAACCCAGGACCUGCGUUUGAAACUGGAGAGCUUGAGGACCGGAGAGGGUAGUGGAAUUCCCAGUGUAGCGGUGAAAUGCGUAGAUAUUGGGAGGAACACCAGUGGCGAAGGCGACUGCCUGGACGGCACCUGACGCUGAGGCGCGAAAGCCAGGGGAGCAAACGGG
Molecule: unclassified non-coding RNA, 253 nt
Filed under: uncultured Heliobacteriaceae bacterium
Lineage: Bacteria; Bacillati; Bacillota; Clostridia; Eubacteriales; Heliobacteriaceae
Description: contains 16S-23S intergenic spacer region
Rfam family: Bacterial small subunit ribosomal RNA
Source: RNAcentral